UGGGGAAUAUUGCACAAUGGGGGAAACCCUGAUGCAGCAACGCCGCGUGAGUGAAGAAGUAUUUCGGUAUGUAAAGCUCUGUCAGCAGGGAAGAAGAUGACGGUACCUGACCAAGAAGCCCCGGCUAACUACGUGCCAGCAGCCGCGGUAAUACGUAGGGGGCAAGCGUUAUCCGGAUUUACUGGGUGUAAAGGGAGCGCAGACGGCAGUGCAAGUCUGGAGUGAAAGCCCGGGGCCCAACCCCGGAACUGCUCUGGAAACUGUACGGCUUGAGUACUGGAGGGGCAGGCGGAAUUCCUAGUGUAGCGGUGAAAUGCGUAGAUAUUAGGAGGAACACCAGUGGCGAAGGCGGCCUGCUGGACAGUAACUGACGUUGAGGCUCGAAAGCGUGGGGAGCAAACAGG
Molecule: ribosomal RNA, 404 nt
Filed under: uncultured bacterium
Lineage: Bacteria
Description: bacterial SSU rRNA
Rfam family: Bacterial small subunit ribosomal RNA
Source: RNAcentral